This is a non-coding RNA of Microcebus murinus (gray mouse lemur), 2030 nucleotides long. Lineage: Eukaryota; Metazoa; Chordata; Mammalia; Primates; Cheirogaleidae. The record is from RefSeq and is a predicted model, not a curated record.
UGUUGCAUGAGUGUCUGCAUACUUGAGGAGGCGUACACUUUUUCCAGCUUUUGCAAAUGUUGUUUGUCCUGGAUAGACCUUCACCAUUUAGUCUAGUCUAGAGAUUCUAGAUGACAGGCUGAUAAUGGCCCUGGGCUGGCAGAGCUUGCUUUUAGGUUCUCUAGGUGCCUUGGCUGCUGUCUUUGUUCAGUGUUUGGGUGGGGAGCUCGCUGGGCUCUGCUAUUGGGCGCCACUCUCUGAGCUCUGCAAUCAGGCUGAGUUGCUGGUUAGUCCCAGCAAUCAUCUCCAAUCUGGCUGGGCCACAGAGUGCUUUCCCCAGCCAGGUGGUGCCAAUUUUUUAGUUCAGCAGCUGGACAGGUCUUCAGGAGGAUCCCUGAGGUUAGGUGGAGCUGCUGAUCAGGAUGGAUGGGACUAGCUGCUGGCCUCAGUAGGAAUUCAUGGUUGAGGUUUGCCUUCUCUGCCCAGGUGGAAACUUUGGGUGGGUUUUGAAGCUGAUCUGAGCACUGUUUAAACUCCCAUCUGUGGCAAAUCUAGCCUCUGCUCCUUUCUAAAUUUGCUGUAGCAUCUCUCUCCCUGGCUAGAGCACCAGGGUAUAUCAGAGGCCUGUUCUGGAAGUUGGCCAUGUAAGAUUUCAAGCCACAUGGAACUUCCCUUUACUUCUGGAAGUGACCAGGUCAACUCUGUGGGUGGGCCAUGCUGUUAGCUGUGGAUUACACAGUUAAACCUCUGACUGGGUGCCAACCUUGCCAAAUACCUGGAGUUACCAAGGUGUAUGCGCUGGUGACUGUGGGCUCGACCUCCUUGGCUUUGUUUCUGCCUGACCCCAGGUGAACUAGCUGUGUUAUUCCCUCCUGUGUUUCCCUUGAGGUUAGAAUAAAGUGGGUUCCUGGGAAGCAUCCCAGAAUGCAAGGGAAGCUGGAUGGCAGCCUGCAGUUCUCCUUUCCCUCCGCAGUCACCAUGGCCCCUGGGGAGUCAUCUCUGGUAGAACUGUGCUGACUUGGAGGAGCCUGAGGCAUGAAAUGAUCAAAUGAGACUGCCUGUCUUACCAUUUCCAUGGGGUUUUUAUACUGCUCUGUGGACCACACGGGUGACCAAGGCUUAUUUCCAAUUUUGAGAGUUUUCACCAAGGUGUUCUUGUUUGUGGACAGUUGCUAGUUGAAAUUUCUGUGGCAGGUACUGAAGGCUAGGACCUCUUAUUCUGCUGCCCUGCUUACAUCCUUCCUCCUAAUGUGUAAAAAGCACAUCCACCCCCCAGAAGUACAUGUUGAUACCUAGACGAGAUCUCACUAUCCUGGGCUGGAGGGGUCCUCCCACCUAAGCCUCCUGAGUAGCUGGGACAACUGGCAGAUGCCCCGGCUGUACCCUCAUUUCAACAUCCUUCCCUGAAUGGCAUUGGGACAAAUGACCUCCUCCUCACAAUAAAGAGCCCUUUGGUCUGCCACGUGACAGACCAGGUGUGAAUCACUCAAGCCACAUCUUUUCCAUGUGCUUUCCAAGUAAGGUACCCUUACGUACCAAGGAACAGCACAAAGGAAAUAAACGUUGCCAGCAUGGAACGUCUAGGACAGGACCCAGGUCAACGGACACUCAGCUUUCUUGAGAUAUCACUCAUGUAUCAUACUAUUCAUCCAUUUAGACUACACAAUUCAAAGGAUUUUAGUGUAUUCACAGUGUUGGUUGCACGAUCACCACCAUAAUCCAUGUGAGGGCAUUUCUAUCACUCCAAAAAGAAAUCACAGACCCAUAUCCCCACAAUUUCCCAGGAGGGAAGGAGAAGUGAGACGGAAGCAGAACUGCAUGACGCAAGGCAGGAGCCAUGAGGCAGGGCCACACGUGGCCCAGAGAAGUUGGAAAAAGCAAGGAAACAAAUCAUCCCUCCGAGCCUGCAGACAGGAAUGAAGCCCUGCCACCUCCUUGAUUUUAGCCUGUUGCACCCCAGGUCACAUUGCUGACCCACAGAACUAAAAGAUCAUACAUUUAUUUUAUUUUAAGCCCCCAAAUUUUUGGUAAACUGUAUAGCAGCAGCAAUA